CCUACGGGGGGCGGCAGUGGGGAAUAUUGGACAAUGGGGGCAACCCUGAUCCAGCCAUGCCGCGUGUGUGAAGAAGGUCUUCGGAUUGUAAAGCACUUUAAGUUGGGAGGAAGGGCUUACGGCUAAUACCCGUUAAGUUUUGACGUUACCAACAGAAUAAGCACCGGCUAACUUCGUGCCAGCAGCCCCGGUC
RNAcentral lists this ribosomal RNA (193 nucleotides) under uncultured bacterium. Its description in RNAcentral is "partial 16S rRNA". It matches the Rfam family "Bacterial small subunit ribosomal RNA", at positions 338 to 522 of the family's 1533-position model. The record is from RNAcentral.